This 547-nucleotide ribosomal RNA is filed under the name uncultured bacterium. RNAcentral describes it as "bacterial SSU rRNA". It matches the Rfam family "Bacterial small subunit ribosomal RNA", at positions 355 to 896 of the family's 1533-position model. The record is from RNAcentral.
UGGGGAAUAUUGCGCAAUGGGGGGAACCCUGACGCAGCCAUGCCGCGUGAAUGAAGAAGGCCUUAGGGCUGUAAAGUUCUUUCGGUAUUGAGGAAGGUUGAUGUGUUAAUAGCACAUCAAAUUGACGUUAAAUACAGAAGAAGCACCGGCUAACUCCGUGCCAGCAGCCGCGGUAAUACGGAGGGUGCGAGCGUUAAUCGGAAUAACUGGGCGUAAAGGGCACGCAGGCGGUUAUUUAAGUGAGGUGUGAAAGCCCCGGGCUUAACCUGGGAACUGCAUUUCAGACUGGGUAACUAGAGUACUUUAGGGAGGGGUAGAAUUCCACGUGUAGCGGUGAAAUGCGUAGAGAUGUGGAGGAAUACCGAAGGCGAAGGCAGCCCCUUGGGAAUGUACUGACGCUCAUGUGCGAAAGCGUGGGGAGCAAACAGGAUUAGAUACCCUGGUAGUCCACGCUGUAAACGCUGUCGAUUUGGGGGUUGGGGUUUAACUCUGGCGCCCGUAGCUAACGUGAUAAAUCGACCGCCUGGGGAGUACGGCCGCAAGGUUA